CAUAUUUCCAACCCCUCUGGAGCACAGCUUCUAUUCCUUGCUUACACAUAACGUUUCAAAGUUAACCUUCAGUCCUAGGAUAUUUGAAAAAGAUGGGAUCUGGGUUGACCAAAGAACACUUUCCCUUUCUAUGAUGCCCGGGGGAUGGUUUCAUUUUAGAGUUAUGGAUUGUUUUUGUAAGUUAUUCUCAUACCAACAAUCCCCUCAACUGAAUUGCCACAUCUCAAAGAUAUUCCUCUCCAAUGUUACUGCAUCUAUCUUAAUGAAUCAUUCCCUUGAUCCUAAAAAUUUGAAGAGUGAAUUUAUACAAAUCAUUGGAGUAGAUCCGAACAGUUGUAAUCUGGUACAUAUUCCAUGUUUUAUUGACAAACAAUGGGUGUUGGUGGUUGU
Long non-coding RNA from Panicum virgatum (switchgrass), 390 nucleotides. RefSeq lists it as uncharacterized. Lineage: Eukaryota; Viridiplantae; Streptophyta; Magnoliopsida; Poales; Poaceae. The transcript has 4 exons. The record is from RefSeq and is a predicted model, not a curated record.